RNAcentral lists this ribosomal RNA (400 nucleotides) under uncultured bacterium. RNAcentral describes it as "bacterial SSU rRNA". It matches the Rfam family "Bacterial small subunit ribosomal RNA", at positions 355 to 769 of the family's 1533-position model. The record is from RNAcentral.
UCGAGAAUAUUCCACAAUGGGCGAAAGCCUGAUGGAGCGACGCCGCGUGCAGGAAGAAGGUCUUCGGAUUGUAAACUGCUUUUCUACGGGAAGAAUCAAAUGACGGUACCGUAGGAAUAAGAAGCUGCAAACUACGUGCCAGCAGCCGCGGUAAUACGUAGGCUUCAAGCGUUAUCCGGAUUUAUUGGGCGUAAAGGGUGUGUAGGGGGUUUUGUGCGUCUCUUGUUAAAGAUCGCUGCUUAACGGCGAAAGUGCAGGGGAUACGGCAAAACUAGAGGGUGCGAGAGGUUCGCGGAACACAUGGUGUAGGGGUGACAUCCGUUGAUAUCAUGUGGAACACCAAAAGCGAAGGCAGCGAACUGGCGCAUUCCUGACCCUGAAACACGAAAGCGUGGGGAGC